This is a long non-coding RNA of Heterocephalus glaber (naked mole-rat), 941 nucleotides long. RefSeq lists it as uncharacterized. Lineage: Eukaryota; Metazoa; Chordata; Mammalia; Rodentia; Bathyergidae. The record is from RefSeq and is a predicted model, not a curated record.
UUAAGAGGUGGACUGAGCUGGAAGAGGUGAGUCGCUGGGUUUUACUGCUGAAGGGUAUAUGUUGUCCCUGGGCCUUCUUCUCUUGCUCUCUCCUUCCAGUCUCUAUGAGGUAAGCACUUCCGGUCUCUAUGACAUGAGCAGCUUUGUUCCACCACACCCUUCCAGGCCCAGAAACAAUAGAGCCAGUCAACUAAGGGCUGAAAUUUUGGAAUCCAUGAACCAAAUACAUCUUUCCAUCUUUAAAUCACUCACCAUCUCAGGAAACUUCAAAAGCAGGCAAAAGCAAGUGUCAUUGGAUAGGUUCCUUAUUAAAGUCACAUGGAAAGGACAAGAUUCCACUGAGCCAAUAGCUAUGAUUCUGGUAGUGAUAAUGAAAGUCAUCCUACACAAUAACCCUUCUCUGUUUCGCCUUCCUCACAUCAGCCAGGAAGGUUUUCAAAGGUACCCAAGAUAAACUGAAGACUCUAUAAUUACUACAGUUGUCCUUUCCCUGUUAUAAAAAACAGGUUCUCCUGCUGCUGACUUUGCAUAUCAGGACUCUCUUCUGCCCAAUCUUUCUGCAUUUUGUAAAACAAAGGCUGGUGGUCUUGCAAUUACAUUUUCCAGGCCCUUGAGUGCUCUGGGAUGUGAGUAAUCAGGCCCUGCUGAUGUAAACGCACCCAGAUUUCUGAAGGGCUCUUCAAUCACUCCUUCCCUGUUUGCCUUUGCGCCUCCAACAGGAUAGCACUUAAUCUGUUUUAGUUUCCCUAUCACUGGAGUGGUGGCCCGCCUGGAAUCUCAGCACUGGGGAGGUGGAGGCAGAAGGAUCACCUCCAAUUUGAGGCCAGCUUGGGCCUCCAUAGUUCAAGGCUAGCCUGACCUACAUAGCAAGACCCUUGUUUGUCUAAGCCCAAAUGUUCUGUUUUAGUAACACGAAGGUAUCUGGAAUACCUGUAUUUUGA